Molecule: ribosomal RNA, 374 nt
Filed under: uncultured organism
Description: partial 16S ribosomal RNA
Rfam family: Bacterial small subunit ribosomal RNA
Source: RNAcentral
GUAGGUGGCAAGCGUUGUCCGGAAUUAUUGGGCGUAGAGCGCGCGCAGGCGGUUCUUUAAGUCUGAUGUGAAAGCCCACGGCUCAACCGUGGAGGGUCAUUGGAAACUGGAGAACUUGAGUACAGAAGAGGAAAGCGGAAUUCCACGUGUAGCGGUGAAAUGCGUAGAGAUGUGGAGGAACACCAGUGGCGAAGGCGGCUUUCUGGUCUGUAACUGACGCUGAGGCGCGAAAGCGUGGGGAGCAAACAGGAUUAGAUACCCUGGUAGUCCACGCCGUAAACGAUGAGUGCUAAGUGUUAGGGGGGUUUUCCGCCCCCCUUAGUGCUGCAGCUAACGCAUUAAGCACUCCGCCUGGGAGUACGGCCGCAAGGCUG